Molecule: long non-coding RNA, 630 nt
Organism: Alnus glutinosa
Lineage: Eukaryota; Viridiplantae; Streptophyta; Magnoliopsida; Fagales; Betulaceae
Exons: 3
Source: RefSeq, a predicted model, not a curated record
CGGUCUCUCUUCCUUUCCACCAACCCGUGAGCUCAUCUCCCUCUAAACUCUCAUCUCUUCUUCACACAAGCUUGGAUUAGCAUGGGAAUGGGCUGAGCUCGUGUGAAGGACAAAGAGCAACGGUUUCAUGGGCUGAAAACAUUAUGAUCAUGUUCGGAUUGGAGACUUUAAUUGGUUCUCUAAUGUAGAGUCCAAGUGACUAGAGUCCAAGGAGUGUUCGAGUUGGAGUCCAAUGCAGCCAAGAUGAUGUUUCUUUGGCUGCAGGUACUUCGGUAUAGUCGAUGGGUCGGUAGCAGUGUGCAUGGGAUAUUAUGACUGAAGCUCACCGCGACAGUUAUAAUUGUCGGACCACGGGUUGUCCACUAUUUUAUAGGUUUGGUAUGGCUUGUGACGUUUGUGUCACUUAUUAAUUGUCAAGCCAUUAUUGUUAUAGUGUUAAUAAGACUCAAACAGAUAGAUGUUAAAUGGCUCUUUGUUGUAAUUAAUUUGUGAUAGAUGUAUAAGUUGUAAUUUCCGCUAUUCAGAUUUAUGUUUUCCGCUGCAUAGAUAGAUGUAUGUUAUACUUUGAUUAUCAGGUACAUGUUAUGGGGCAUGUGACAUAUGUUGGCUGAGCGACACGUAGUCGUGCCA